Molecule: ribosomal RNA, 225 nt
Filed under: uncultured bacterium
Lineage: Bacteria
Description: partial 16S ribosomal RNA
Rfam family: Bacterial small subunit ribosomal RNA
Source: RNAcentral
GAUCAUGGCUCAGGAUGAACGCUAGCUACAGGCUUAGCACAUGCGAGUUGAGGGGCAGCAUGGUCUUAGCUUGCUAAGGCCGAUGGCGACUGGCGCACGGGUGAGUAACGCGUAUCCAACCUGCCUUACACUCUUGGACAGCCUUCUGAAAGGGAGAUUAAUACAAGAUGUUAUCAUGAGUAAGCAUUUUCGCAUGAUUAAAGGUUUACCGGUGUAAGAUGGGGA